Molecule: long non-coding RNA, 2520 nt
Organism: Lineus longissimus
Lineage: Eukaryota; Metazoa; Nemertea; Pilidiophora; Heteronemertea; Lineidae
Exons: 4
Source: RefSeq, a predicted model, not a curated record
UGAUGAUCGAGCAUUGAUAAAAUCGAUUGCUUUUAAGCAAACCUGAAAUUACAAAAACCACAAAGCAGGCAGAAAGUGAUGAAGAUGCGUACCGAUAGGGAUUCAGAAGACAGAUGAGGACAGAGACCUGCACCAAUAGACAAUAGGACUGUCCACAUUAGAACGGAGAAGAUGAAGAAGACUGAAGUGUUGUUUCAGAAUGCCACAUUCGUUUGGUUGUCAAAGCAAAUUUUGAAAGUGUUACACAACUAUUUCUUUCAUCGACGAAAUCUGCCCGUGCCAACUUGUCUUCUGUCCGUAAAGCUACAGAAAGGGAGACCAACACAGCUUUUGUAGGAGGCCGGUGAUUUACCCUCAUUCCAGGAUAUAUAUAUAUCGCAUUUCAUCUCAUCAACGAAAUUUAUCGAUGUACUUUUAAUAUAGCAAUGGAAGCAAUAUUCAAACAUUUGUACUCGACUGUUGUAAAAUAUAUUUUACAACUGAUCAGGAUAGUUGCCAUUAUUGUGAUUGUGUCUUCCAGUUCAGUCUAUUUGCCUUCCUGGAGGGCUCCAUCUGAAUGCAUGCCUUGCCAUGUACCGCUACAUGUUUGUUUCCUGUGCGCCUCACUGAGCCAUCCGGCUUUCAUUCAGGGAAAUUCCGAUGGAUUGUGCAAUCAAAGAUUUCGUCGUGUCUGCCUCUCCAGCGUGCUCAUUUGCAACCAGACAAUCCGAUGGCAGUACUCUACAUUUGGGGGUUCCGGUGCUGAACUGCUGGUGUAUGCCAUGACAUCGAAAAGGUCAUUUUUAUCUCUGAUGGGAUAUAUGCUCUUGACCUCACUACCGACGCGGAUUUCCUCUUGUAAAGAUAAAGUUACACCACCAAGAAUACCGAAUAACGAUCUGAAAUCACUGCCUUAGGUCACCCGGCUGCAGAGCUGCGCACAAAGCCCGGUCUGUUCUUCAGCACUUAGUGCGAAGUAAAUUGCACAUCCCUUACAGUUGUUCAUUCUUUUGCCUGCUGCAGUGUAUCGACUUUACUACCUGAAUGGCAGCGAUGCCAUGGUGAAGUGAGUACACAGUCAGUUUAGUACUUCUCGCCUGGAUUAUUACCGACAGGAUUUUUCAGCAAUUUUGCGAGUUAUCUUCACUAUAAUUCCUCAUGGAUUAAAAAGGAAAAUAUAUAUGGCAUGUAAAGUUGGCUAUAGAUGGGUUGGUACCCUGCCGCCUUAGCCGUGUGGGUGCUUUGGGACUAUAACGUCUUUACCUCGUCGUAUAUAUUCAUCAUGGUAAUUCAGCAAUCUCCCAGUCUCGCCAUUUGUAACGGUUGCUUUAAGUGACACUAGCAGCGUUUACCAAAGUACAUGUGACCUCUUCCGGUUGGUAUUUUCCGGUUCAAGAGGCAGCAAAUGGCAGCUAGUCCUUUCAUUGGAGGAUUGGUGAUUCAUGUGACAGUAGCCUCGUCAUUUGUAAUUUGUUUGGUUUGGCAUCACUGCAAUGGUAUCUGGCUGUUUGUUUUCUACGACAUGUUAAAGUAACGGCCUAAAGUCCUUGACAUGGGCCGAAUUAUUUGUACUUUUCUGAAGCGUGACAACAUACAGAGCUCAGUCUGUCAUGUGAAAUACCACUUCACAGAUAUUGCUACAUCAGAUUAUUGUCGGUAUAAAUGUACGUGAUAAACUACAUCCAGGACACGUAAUUUAAUUACUACUACAUAAUUCUACUCUUCUCGUUGCCUAUGAAUAUUAGAAAUGGACAGUAUGUAUACUCUACUUCAUUUGGUCAUGCUCUUCGAAUGACUGGCGGCAAACAUGAAAACAUCAAUAUCAAACAACGCUUCACGUCAGGGUUACAUCCUAAGCCCUACACUAUCGCUUUUUACGUUAAGGUCAAAUGGAGGUGCCAGAUGCAGUACAUUCUUGAUGAAAUUGAGAAAGGCUACAGGCUCUCCAUUUGCCUUGGAUACAGAGCUCUAACAGUAGCACACUAUGUUCGGGAAAGGGCAUAUUUUACGCAUGCGAAAAUUUCUUGCUCUGACAAACAGGAAGGGUGGCACCUAUUGGCAAUGACUAUCCGCUACAAAAAAGGCGGUAGGUCAUAUAAGGCGAUGGUGUUUUGGGAUGGCUGGGACGUUACCCAUUUCACAAAGCUUGGCCCUGUCAAUGGGAGAUGGUGGGGAAAUCGACAUUAUCCUUUUCAUCUUGGAGGUGAAGCAUUUGGAAAGCACAAUUGGAAGUUCCAAGGAAAGAUGGCGAGGCUUAUGCUAUUUAAAUGUAUUCUAUCGCAGAAAUUUAUCGUCGAAAAUCUUGGUAGGUAUAUAUGUUUUCAAACUUGCAAUGCCAGAGAAGGGUGUGACAGUGCUUUACUGCAAUUUUAUCGUUCAAUGGGGGCUGCCUUUAGGUUUUAGGAUUUGACAUAUCAUGGAUUUAUUUCACUGAAGAUAUUCGUUUAAAAUCAGAAUAACACAAAGGAUCAGCACCGCGCGUGCAGUAUCGAGCCCGAAAACUUGGAAAAUAUUAGUUGACUCGUUGAAGCCCUGGCGUUU